CAUUAUACGGCGAAACUGCGAAUGGCUCAUUAAAUCAGUUAUCGUUUAUUUGAUAGUACCUUACUACUUGGAUAACCGUGGUAAUUCUAGAGCUAAUACAUGCUUAAAACCCCAACUCACGAAGGGGUGUAUUUAUUAGAUUAAAAACCAAUGCCCUUCGGGGCUCUUUGGUGAUUCAUAAUAACUUUUCGAAUCGCAUGGCCUUGCGCCGGCGAUGGUUCAUUCAAAUUUCUGCCCUAUCAACUUUCGAUGGCAGGGUCUUGGCCUGCCAUGGUGACAACGGGUAACGGAGGGUUAGGGCUCGACCCCGGAGAAGGAGCCUGAGAAACGGCUACUACAUCCAAGGAAGGCAGCAGGCGCGCAAAUUACCCAAUCCCGACUCGGGGAGGUAGUGACAAUAAAUACUGAUACAGGGCUCUUUUGGGUCUUGUAAUUGGAAUGAGUACAAUUUAAAUCCCUUAACGAGGAACAAUUGGAGGGCAAGUCUGGUGCCAGCAGCCGCGGUAAUUCCAGCUCCAAUAGCGUAUAUUAAAGUUGUUGCAGUUAAAAAGCUCGUAGUUGAACCUUGGGCCUGGCUGGCCGGUCCGCCUCACCGCGUGCACUGGUUCGGCCGGGCCUUUCCCUCUGGGGAACCGCAUGCCCUUCACUGGGUGUGUCGGGGAACCAGGACUUUUACUGUGAAAAAAUUAGAGUGUUCAAAGCAGGCCUAUGCUCGAAUACAUUAGCAUGGAAUAAUAGAAUAGGACGUGUGGUUCUAUUUUGUUGGUUUCUAGGACCGCCGUAAUGAUUAAUAGGGACAGUCGGGGGCGUCAGUAUUCCGUUGUCAGAGGUGAAAUUCUUGGAUUUACGGAAGACUAACUACUGCGAAAGCAUUCGCCAAGGAUGUUUUCAUUAAUCAGGAACGAAAGUUAGGGGAUCGAAGACGAUCAGAUACCGUCGUAGUCUUAACCAUAAACUAUGCCGACUAGGGAUCGGGCGAUGUUAUUAUUUGACUCGCUCGGCACCUUACGAGAAAUCAAAGUCUUU
RNAcentral lists this ribosomal RNA (1026 nucleotides) under Arthrinium sp. Its description in RNAcentral is "SSU rRNA". It matches the Rfam family "Eukaryotic small subunit ribosomal RNA", at positions 72 to 1108 of the family's 1831-position model. The record is from RNAcentral. Lineage: Eukaryota; Fungi; Ascomycota; Sordariomycetes; Amphisphaeriales; Apiosporaceae.